Molecule: ribosomal RNA, 258 nt
Filed under: uncultured bacterium
Lineage: Bacteria
Description: partial 16S ribosomal RNA
Rfam family: Bacterial small subunit ribosomal RNA
Source: RNAcentral
CAGGUACAGCGGGAAGCCACCUGGCGACAGGGCGCGGAACCCGAAAACCUGUCUCAGUUCGGAUUGGAGUCUGCAACCCGACUCCAUAAAGCUGGAUUCGCUAGUAAUCGCGCAUCAGCCACGGCGCGGUGAAUACGUUCCCGGGCCUUGUACACACCGCCCGUCAAGCCAUGGAAGCCGGGAGUGCCUGAAGUGCGUGACCGCAAGGAGCGUCCUAAGGCAAUACCGGUGACUGGGGCUAAGUCGUAACAAGGUAUC